This 254-nucleotide ribosomal RNA is filed under the name uncultured bacterium. Its description in RNAcentral is "partial 16S ribosomal RNA". It matches the Rfam family "Bacterial small subunit ribosomal RNA", at positions 524 to 777 of the family's 1533-position model. The record is from RNAcentral.
GACGAAGGGGGCUAGCGUUGUUCGGAAUUACUGGGCGUAAAGCGCGUGUAGGCGGUUGUUCAAGUCAGGUGUGAAAGCCUUGGGCUCAACUCAAGAAAUGCACUUGAUACUGGAUGACUAGAGGACCGGAGAGGAUAGUGGAAUUCCCAGUGUAGUGGUGAAAUACGUAGAGAUUGGGAAGAACACCAGUGGCGAAGGCGGCUAUCUGGACGGUUUCUGACGCUAAGACGCGAAAGCGUGGGGAGCAAACAGGG